This 700-nucleotide ribosomal RNA is filed under the name uncultured Bacteroidales bacterium. RNAcentral describes it as "bacterial SSU rRNA". It matches the Rfam family "Bacterial small subunit ribosomal RNA", at positions 66 to 754 of the family's 1533-position model. The record is from RNAcentral. Lineage: Bacteria; Pseudomonadati; Bacteroidota; Bacteroidia; Bacteroidales.
GGGGCAGCAUUUUAGUUUGCUUGCAAACUGAAGAUGGCGACCGGCGCACGGGUGAGUAACACGUAUCCAACCUGCCGAUAACUCCGGAAUAGCCUUUCGAAAGAAAGAUUAAUACCGGAUGGCAUACGAAUAUCGCAUGAUAUUUUUAUUAAAGAAUUUCGGUUAUCGAUGGGGAUGCGUUCCAUUAGUUUGUUGGCGGGGUAACGGCCCACCAAGACUACGAUGGAUAGGGGUUCUGAGAGGAAGGUCCCCCACAUUGGAACUGAGACACGGUCCAAACUCCUACGGGAGGCAGCAGUGAGGAAUAUUGGUCAAUGGGCGAGAGCCUGAACCAGCCAAGUAGCGUGAAGGAUGAAGGCUCUAUGGGUCGUAAACUUCUUUUAUAUGGGAAUAAAGUUUUCCACGUGUGGAAUUUUGUAUGUACCAUAUGAAUAAGGAUCGGCUAACUCCGUGCCAGCAGCCGCGGUAAUACGGAGGAUCCGAGCGUUAUCCGGAUUUAUUGGGUUUAAAGGGAGCGUAGGUGGAUUGUUAAGUCAGUUGUGAAAGUUUGCGGCUCAACCGUAAAAUUGCAGUUGAAACUGGCAGUCUUGAGUACAGUAGAGGUGGGCGGAAUUCGUGGUGUAGCGGUGAAAUGCUUAGAUAUCACGAAGAACUCCGAUUGCGAAGGCAGCUCACUAAACUGUUACUGACACUGAUGCUC